This 485-nucleotide ribosomal RNA is filed under the name uncultured Lactobacillus sp. Its description in RNAcentral is "bacterial SSU rRNA". It matches the Rfam family "Bacterial small subunit ribosomal RNA", at positions 62 to 507 of the family's 1533-position model. The record is from RNAcentral. Lineage: Bacteria; Bacillati; Bacillota; Bacilli; Lactobacillales; Lactobacillaceae.
UCGAGCGAGCUUGCCUAGAUGAUUUUAGUGCUUGCACUAAAUGAAACUAGAUACAAGCUAGCGGCGGACGGGUGAGUAACACGUGGGUAACCUGCCCAAGAGACUGGGAUAACACCUGGAAACAGAUGCUAAUACCGGAUAACAACACUAGACGCAUGUCUAGAGUUUAAAAGAUGGUUCUGCUAUCACUCUUGGAUGGACCUGCGGUGCAUUAGCUAGUUGGUAAGGUAACGGCUUACCAAGGCAAUGAUGCAUAGCCGAGUUGAGAGACUGAUCGGCCACAUUGGGACUGAGACACGGCCCAAACUCCUACGGGAGGCAGCAGUAGGGAAUCUUCCACAAUGGACGCAAGUCUGAUGGAGCAACGCCGCGUGAGUGAAGAAGGGUUUCGGCUCGUAAAGCUCUGUUGGUAGUGAAGAAAGAUAGAGGUAGUAACUGGCCUUUAUUUGACGGUAAUUACCUAGAAAGUCACGGCUAACUACGUG